Molecule: ribosomal RNA, 522 nt
Filed under: uncultured bacterium
Lineage: Bacteria
Description: partial 16S ribosomal RNA
Rfam family: Bacterial small subunit ribosomal RNA
Source: RNAcentral
UAGGGAAUCUUCCACAAUGGACGCAAGUCUGAUGGAGCAACGCCGCGUGAGUGAAGAAGGUUUUCGGACCGUAAAGCUCUGUUGUUGGUGAAGAAGGAUAGAGGUAGUAACUGGCCUUUAUUUUGACGGUAAUCAACCAGAAAGUCACGGCUAACUACGUGCCAGCAGCCGCGGUAAUCGUAGGUGGCAAGCGUUGUCCGGAUUUAUUGGGCGUAAAGCAAGCGCAGGCGGAAGAAUAAGUCUGAUGUAAAGCCCUCGGCUUAACCGAGGAAUUGCAUCGGAAACUGUUUUCUGAGUGCAGAAGAGAGAGUAGAACUCCAUAUGUAGCGGUGGAAUGCGUAGAUAUAUGGAAGAAUACCAGUGGCGAAGGCGGCUCUCUGGUCUGCAACUGACGCUGAGGCUCGAAAGCAUGGGUAGCGAACAGGAUUAGAUACCCUGGUAGUCCAUGCCGUAAACGAUGAGUGCUAAGUGUUGGGAGGCUUCCGCCUCUCAGUGCUGCAGCUAACGCAUUAAGCACUCCGC